UGGAAGAAACGCUCGACUUCUUAAUCUUAUAUCGGGACCAUCGGGCUUUUCGAUUAUUGGCAAUGCGUUCCAAAGCAUAGUGUCAGCAGAGAAACUAUGGAAGGUCUUCUGUACAUUAUCUAAUGAAUAUUAUCCCAUUGCUAAAUUCGGGGGUUUCUUUGUAUAUGGAGUGUUAAUCAGUCAUCCAGACGAUUUAGAGACGAUUCUAAGCAGCACUAAGCACAUCGAGAAAGGUCAUGUGUAUAACUUAUUACAUCCCUGGUUAAACACAGGUCUCCUCACUAGCACAGGUAAUAACAU
Molecule: long non-coding RNA, 300 nt
Organism: Camponotus floridanus (Florida carpenter ant)
Lineage: Eukaryota; Metazoa; Arthropoda; Insecta; Hymenoptera; Formicidae
Exons: 3
Source: RefSeq, a predicted model, not a curated record